AUGCUAAAGAACAGAAUAGGCACAUGUAACCCUCUCUCACCUUCUCCCUCCCCUUUCAUAGAGAUGAAAUGAAAAGGAAUUAAUGAGGACAGAUUAUUGGAUUAGGGCCCAUACUCAGGGCUCUAACAGCAUGGGGAGUUUCUCCUGUCACUUCAGUUCUUGUUCAGGAAUUGGCACCUCCUUUUUGUGAAUCACAAAGACCAGUGCUUUAUAUCAAGCCAUUUAGAUUUGGGCUAUGGAGCAGUGACUUAAAAAAAUUAAAUUUUAUUUUCAGAGAUUUUUUCUAUUAAUUGUUUACAUUUAUUUUAAUUGUAUAUUCUGAAACCGCUACAAAAAGGCAUGAAAUAAUUAUUUAAAUUUUAAUUCAUAUGGGUCAAAAUGUAUGUUAAACUACCUAUUGUCGCCUUCACAGUCGUUGUUAUGUUUGAGCCGAUUGUUGUGGCCACUUGUUACCAAGUAUGACUUUCUUCUCCAGGGACUGAUCUCUCCUGACAACAUGUCCAAAAUAUGUGAGAUGAAGCCUCGCCAUUCUUGCUUCUAAGGAAUAUUCUGGCUGUACUUCUUUCAAGACAGAUUUGUUCAUUCUUUUGGCAGUCCGUGGUAUAUUCAAUAUUCUUUGCAAACACCGUAAUUCAGUGCCUUCAAUUUUUCUUUGGUCUUCCUUAUUCAUUGCCCACCUUUUGUGUGCGUAUGAGGUGACUGAAAAUACCAUGGCUUGAGUCAGGCACACAUUAGUUUUCAAGGUGACAUCUGUGCGUUUGAACACUUUAAAGAGGUCUCUGGCAGCAGAUUUGUCCAAUGCAAUGUGUCGUUUGAUUUCUUGACUGCUGCUUCCAUGGGUGUUUAUUGUGGAUCCAAGUAAAAUGAAGCCCUUAAUGAUGUCAACAUUUUCUCCGUUGUCAUGAUGUUGCUUAUUGGUCCAGUUGUUAGGCUGUCAGUCUGCAGUCUUUGAUCUUCAGCAGUAAAUGCUUUAAGGCCUCUUCACUUUCAGCAAGCAAGAUUGUAUCACCUGCAUAUCUCAGGUUAUUAAUCAGUCUUCCUCCAAUCCUGACGCCUUAUUCUUCUUCAGACAGUCCAGCUUCUCGGAUUAUUUGCUCAGCAUACAGGUUGAAUAGGUAUGGUGAAAGGAUAUAACGGUGAUGCACACCUUUCUUGACUUUAAACCAUGCAGUAUUCCUUGUUCUGUUUAGAUGACUGCCUCUUUUUCUAUGUACAGGUUUCUCAUGAGAACAAUUAAGUGUCCUGGAAAUCUCAUUCUUCCCCAUGUUAUCCAUAAUUUGUUAUGAGCUGGAGUAGGUCUCAGAAAUAAUGUGCCAUUUCUUCCAGUUGGUUGUGCACAGCUGCCUACUUCCCUAGGUGGUAGCAGCUAAGGCCUGUCUCAGAAACACUCCCCUCCUCACUAAGCAUGAUUCUUCACACUGCUCCAUCUUCUUUCCCGUGUGUGUCUCCUUCCCUCCUCAGUGGCUGGGGAAAAUGAUAGUAGUCCACUGAUGAGAUUUAUUCUUUUAUUAUACUUUAUUUUAUCAUUUGUUUUUAUAACAUAGUUCCGUUAAAAUCAAGGGUAAUAAAAAUGUUUGUGUGAUGGAAGUGGAUAAUCCCAUCCAUUGUGUCCAUCUAAAGUUUCAUGAGAAAACUGUGCCCACAACAGAGGGCUCCCACUCCUCUGGCUCACUGUAUUUUCUCCUUGUUUAUUUGCUCUUCCCUCUUUCCUGAUGCAUGCAUGGGACCACUGAGCUUCAAGACUCCACAAUUCUGCUUUUCAUACCAGUGUUACUGUAAUCUUGGGUUCAUGGGAUGCCUUGCCACAGAUUUACUCAUUCUGUCUCUGUUAAUUAUUUCAUUACUUAAAAAUCUCUCAUGAAUUUUUCCAGAAGUACAUUCUAUUCCUCAAAAACUUGGAAGCAAUGGGAAAGUAUGCAAUAAAUAACAAGAAAACAUACGUAAUGCAUAGAAUAAAUUAUUAACGUUCCGAUAUGUCUGUUAUCUUACUUACAUUUGCAUGUAUAUGUAUUAGAGUCUCUGGUUGAUGCAAAUGGUUAAUAUCUUGAGCUGCUGACAGAAAGUUGGAGUUCAGGUCCACCCAGAAUUGCUAUGAAAGAGAGGUCUGGCAGUCUACUUCCGAAAACUCAGCCACUGAAACCCCUAUGGAGUACAGUUCUACUCUGGCACACUGGUGUCCUCAUGGAUCAGAACUGACUCAGUGGCAACUGGUUUUAUGUGGGUAUUAGCACACACAUUUAUGUGUAUUAACACGGCUAUUAUAUCCUGAUAUUUUCAUUCAUCAUUAGUCUUUUCUCAUGAUAAUUUUUUUUUGUUUUUUUUUAAUGAGGGCAUUAAAUUACUUUAUAAUAUUCUGUGUGCAUGUAGUAUAUGUUUUUUAACGAUCUGACUAUAGUUGCAAUAAUGAAUGUGCAUGUUUCUAGUAAUCUUCAACGUAUACUUACAUCUUUUUAACAUACAUCUCUGCCAUUAAAUCUCUUUGUUUAAUUAUUGUUUAACACUCUUUACGCCUAAGAGAUGGUCUCAGAAGCAGCCCUGAUCAGUUUUUCUCCCUCUUACUCAUGAAGCCCCUUAAUGUAUUCCAAGGUAUCAACUACGAAGCAUUUUACGUCCUUAUCGUUUGUUUAUUUUUCAUUCAGUCAGUAUAUUCCACGGGCCAGAAAUAGUCUAUGUUAUGCAGAUACAGUGGUGAAAGGUACACACUGUCCCUGUCGUCAUGAAGGGGACAACCCAGUGCAGGGGGGAGGAGCACUGGGGAAAUGCAGCUGAGAGCAAGGACAGACAACCCUCCAGGCACCACACUGGACUUCAGAGAGGCUUGUUGGCUGCUGUUCACCUGGCAGGCUUCUAGACACCAGAGUACCCUUGGGCUUGGUGCCUGCUCCUCUCUCUACUGACACCCUCCCUCUAGGAUGCCUCAGUGAGUUCACUGCUGUCUAUUUGUAGCUAAGGACCUGAGGUUUAUACCUCCAUCCAUUCAAACUCCUCCUGGGUCCAGAGUCAUAUAUUCAAAUGUCAGCCUAACUCUCUGUAUUGACCUCUUUAUGCAUUAUAAUGAUACAUUCCUCAUAUGGCCAUCACGAAAAGCAAACAUGAAAGAAAAAGCACGGGAGUGCCUGGCACCAGUGUAGGUACUCAAUGAACAUUAGCUGUUGGUAUUAUCCUUGACAUCCCCAUGUGGGGUGAAGUUUUAUUACCUGACAUUUCCGUGUGAAUAUCUAACAGCUACACCAUGUUAUCUAGGCUAUGAAACAAUUCUUGGUUCCAACCACCAUUCUGUCCUUAUCGAUGAAUUUCUCAAGGCUUCGGUGAUGGGAGUGUGUGUUUUUCCACACAAUGGACGUGAUUAGGAAUGGUUGGCUAUGUCCUACACAAUAAAUUGCUCCAGCAUUCCUAUGGGUGACCAUUGAGACAAGUUUCAGCCAACGAAUGUAGCAAAGAAUUGGAACCACUCUCAGCUGUUCAUGCGAGUACUCUCAAUCCAGAAUAUCUGGUAAAUCGACUGUUAGGGAUUGAAUUGUGUCCCUCCACAAUGUAUGUGGAAAUCCUAACCCCUGUACCUGUAAAUCUGACCUUGUUAGGAAAGGGGGGGCCUGCUUUUAUUAUGUGAAUGAGGUCAUACCAAUGUAGGGUGGGUCCUAAGCCUAACUCCUCUUAGUUAUAAAAGGAGCAGAAUACACACAGACACAAACAGAUGAAAAGGAAGACAGACAAAGAAGACAGAUGCUUCUAGAAGGCCAGGAACACAAAUGAUUGCUGGCAUCUACUAGAAGCUGAGGUAGACAAGGAAGGACCUCCCACUACAGCCAUGCCCUGAAUUCGAACGACUACCUGCUAAACUGUGAGAAAAUAAAUUUCUGUUCUUUAAAGCCAUCCAGUUGUGUUAUUUUUUGUUAUGGAGGGACUAGGUAACUAACACACAUACCCGUUCUUAUAAGUUCAGCCCAGUGCAGAAUAAUUUUCUUCCCUCCUUGGUCUAACCCACCCGAACCUGCUCUUUCCCUAUCAGUGUCCUUUGCUUUCACCUAAGAGCUAUGACAGAGUCAGCUCGAUGGUGAUGCAUUGAAAUUUCAAUUUAUUUUUUAUUUAUGAUUACUAUUAAUUCCAGUAUUUUCUACAGUUUUCAAUGGAGACAGUCCUAUAAUCUAUGAAUAGCAGUUAUACUUUUUCUCUUUUUGUACUAGCUUACACUUCCAGUGUUCAAUGUUUAAUAAAAGUAAUGAUAGAAGCACCCUUAUUUUAUUGUUUAUUAAUUUUAAAGAGAAUGUCCCACACGUCACCAUGAACUAUCAUGCUAGUUGUAGUUUUCUACGUUUGGGAACUCCUUUUCUGUUCCAUAUUUGCUCCUAGUCCUUAUCUCUCCGUGUGAUUGGAUUUUAUCAACCUGCUUUGCCCCCAUCUCUUGAGGUGAGCAUAUGUCUUCUCUUCUUUCACCUAUGCAUGUGGUGAAUGAAAUUACUAAAUCUUUAACGUUCACUCAAAUUUAUAUGCCUACAAUAAACCGCCUUGAUCAUGGCAUGUUACGUGGUUUAUACUUUGCUGGAUUUCCUUUGCUGGCAUCUUACGUAGGGUUUUGCAUCUCAGUUACUGAGUGUGCUUGUCCUCUAACUCUUCUCUACCAUCCUUCUCUAAUUUGUUAUCAUUUUUAAACUAGCCUUAAGGAUCAAGUUAGGGGAGUAUCUCAUGGUUUUCUAAUCUCUGUUGACUAUGUACAAGAUUAAAGUUACUGUUUCUUGCAUGUUUGCUGGAACCUGACUGGAAACGAUCUAGGUCUGCCAUUUUCUUUGUAGGGAGAUCUUGAAGUACUGACCCAUUUUAUUUAGUGGUUAAAGGCAUCUUCUGGUGCUAAUUUACUUAGAAAAAAUUCUGAUGCAUGUUCUAGGUUGCUCGAAUCUCAUCUUCAAAUAUUGAUUAUCAGGGCUUGUAGCCUCAUGCAAGGCAAUUCAUCAAUCCCAGAUUUCCCCAAAGUCAGGCUCUGCAACUCUUCCUGGUACCAAAUUCCCUCAUUUAAGACUUAUUUGCAAAGAGACAACAGUAUGCUAUCUACGCAGUUGUUUAUCCGCAGCCUUCUUGAGUCCAUAAUGUGAGGAUACAGUCUUCUAAUACUUUUUUUGUAAUUGUUCUUUUUCUUAUUUUUUUUUCCUUUUUUCACUGCCAAAACCCACCUCCCCAGUCUAGUAGUUUUAAAGUUGUGAGUUUCAGGUUCAAGUCUGUAAUCCAGCUGAGCUUCUGUGUGUGCUGCAUGUGUGCAUCAAAAGAACACGCUUCUAGAAGCAGAAAGCAGGCAGUGCGACUGUUGGGUGGUUGGUGGGGUAGGGGGAGGGGAGCUGCUGCUCAGAGACAGCACCCGAGGGAGGCACGAGAUGCCGGGCUGCCCACCGCAAGCCCGCAGGCUCCAAGGAGGAGGAAACUGCGUGCGCCAUGAGCCUUUUGAGACAGGCCCAAGCCCACCUAGCCGGGUGCUAACCUCACAUCUGCCAGGCUUGCAGGUUCCACCAGGACUAGGGGAAGCCUAAGGCCAAGGAGGGCAAGGUCUAGGGUCUGGACCUGAAAACUGGUUCUGCCACUUGUGAUCACAGCGCUUAUGCUGGAAAGGAGGGCAGGAAGCAUAUCGCAAUGUGUGUCCGGACGAUGACCCAGAAGGGGGGAGUUGUGGUCACCUACGGACUCUGGGUCUGCAUAUGGAGGCCCCCAGGGUGCAAUUCCAGGAGCAGAAGGCAAAGCACAGAGGCCAAAGUGUACCUCGCCGAUGCUUCCCAGGGGCAUUUCCCCAAAUAUGGGGAGCAGUCCCUUCUCUGGGCUAGGGACUUUGUUUCCUCCAUUGUCAUCACUGACUGUGAGCAGACUCUAGUCUAUGAAGACUAAUGAGGAGCUAUCAAAAUGAGCUCCAAACUCCGGAUUUGAGUUAAGGAUCAUAAAUUAACACAGAGAAAUACGACUUUAGCAAUAAGUGACUGUUUGAAGUCCAGGUUGCCUUAAAACACGGAAUUUCAGUCUUUCAGCUCCUCUGCUAAUGUAGUGACUAAGAACAGGAUCUCAGUGGAGCUCAAAGAUGUGGGGCACUGGGAAUACUCUGGGUCUGUCUGCUCACGGCUGAUUGCCUGAUUCCCAGUUUUAUUAUACAGCUUAAAUACAGACCAGAAGAGGAGUUUGGGGCUUGACACCUGACAUCUUAACACCAGUUCCUGUUUCUUGAGGAAGGAAGAGGUAAAAUAAAUCAGCGUUUACUGUGUCCUUCUCCAUCCCCGGAAGUCUUCAUGAAGACCCUCUCAGCUUCAACUUGAACGUGAAUAUGAGCAACUGAUCAUCUGUUCUGCAGUCAGCCCCUGGCCUGAUUCUGACUCAUGAUAUUGACCUUCUCCAUCAUCACCUUCCACAAAUUUGAUUCCUAUCUAUUCUGCCUGGAAUAGCUCACGAGUAUAGUCACCAUUUAUGUUCCUGAUGAAAGCAGGAGAAGGCAUUCGUGGAGAGAGGCGGAUUCCAUGUGUGCAGGCAAAGUGUGUGCUGAGAUGAUGAGUCGCUGGAGACCAGUGUGCACUCUUCAGACCCAGGAUAGGCCUCUGGCAGCAGGAGAAGGCAUUCAUGGAGAGAGGCGGAUUCCAUGUGUGCAGGCAAAGUGUGUGCUGAGAUGAUGAGACCCUGGAGACCAGGGUGGACUCUUCAGACCCAGGAUAGGCCUCUGGCAGGUAUGUGUCAAUAUUUUCUGCCCGUGGCACUCACCCGGGUAUUUGCAUACAAUGUCAUCAGCGGAAUUAGUAGUCUCCGGAGAGGCUUCCACAUGUCAACAACAUUCACCCGGCCAGGGUCCACCCGUGAGGUAGCUCUCCAAUCAAUCACUACUCUCUAGACCUUCCAGAUAGACUAGCAGAUCUUCUCUGCCCAUGGGCAACCAGUAGAGCCAGAGGCCUUCCCCCUUUGCUCUUUCAUCUCUAGGCACUCUGUCAGGCACUCCAAGCUGUGAAGUGACUCGGGGAGAGAAGGAAGAGAUUUCAGAGGAUGAACACAUACAGAGAGAGAGGCAAGAUAUGCUGAGUGGGGAUGUCUUGCGUACUGUUAUCCUGAGGAAAGUGGGAAAAUCGGACCCUGGCCUGCUCUGCCAAUGCCCUGAAGCAGUCCGCACCAGGGGAUCCCUUGUGCCUGCGUAGCCUUUCCCAGGGUGUGCUCAAAUCCUGUGGCCACUAGGUGUCCUAGGUCACAAUGGAGGGCCCUGUGUCAUCUGCCUGGUGGGCUGGAUCUCUGCCACUGGCUGAGUCUUGUCACCAGGCCCAUCGUAAGCUCCGCCCACUCUUCCGGUGGGGGGACUGUCUCCAUGGUGAUGGCAAAGAAGCCUUAGUUCCGCCUACCUGGCCUUCACUUCACCUACCUGGCCUGCUGACCCUCACUCAGACCUCUGUGUUGAUCAAAAUAAAUGUCCGCCAGUGGCCAGGUGUCAGCAUCUGGGACAAAGGAUUCGGGACCUUGCCUGAGGCAGAAGGCAGCCUAGGUCUGUGGGUACCUGGAAGUCUAGUGACUUGUGACGCUGCUGCCAGUGAUAGAUGGUGACUCCCACACUCACAUAUCCCCUGGUGGCAGA
Molecule: long non-coding RNA, 7573 nt
Organism: Loxodonta africana (African savanna elephant)
Lineage: Eukaryota; Metazoa; Chordata; Mammalia; Proboscidea; Elephantidae
Exons: 4
Source: RefSeq, a predicted model, not a curated record